CGCUAAAAGGCCGUUUGUUUCCCCGGGGACUCUUUUACAUGCGCACCCUGGGAGUGGAGACAGAAAGGCACAGGUAAGUGUUCACAGUAUUCAUGUCAAACUGAUUUGAAACUGCACUGCUUCCACCUUUUACUCAAGCACACAAAUAUGCUAAAACCCUCAUCCACAUCGUGUGCACUGUGUUACAGGUGGUGCGGCUAAAUUAACCCCCGGCUACCGGACGAGCUACCGGACGUCCCCGGAAAACACCUAUACAGAUACACGCAUACACACACCAUUAACCAAAUCAGAAUUAAAGUAUUUUGACUGAAAUACCUCUGUGGCUCAUCAUUUGCUAAUCAUGUGUAGCUUUUACUUUAACAACCCUAAAUGUUGUGUCUACCUGCACUAUAUAUAUAUAUAUAUCAACACUGCUUAGCUGCCCCAAUCCUCAGCUACUCACUGCAGUAGUAACGGAGACAACAGAGGCCUCCGUUACACAGAUCAUAUCAUGAAGUAUUCUGUGG
Non-coding RNA from Xyrichtys novacula (pearly razorfish), 506 nucleotides. NCBI's taxonomy places the organism in Eukaryota, Metazoa, Chordata, Actinopteri, Labriformes, Labridae. The record is from the annotation of a GenBank genome assembly.